CCCUUAGAUGUUCUGGGCCGCACGCGCGCUACACUGACGAAUGCAACGAGCUUAUAACCUUGGCCGAAAGGUCUGGGUAAUCUCCAAAUUUCGUCGUGAUGGGGAUAGAUUAUUGCAAUUAUUAAUCUCCAACGAGGAAUUCCUAGUAAACGCAAGUCAUCAGCUUGCAUUGAUUACGUCCCUGCCCUUUGUACACACCGCCCGUCGCACCUACCGAUUGAAUGGUCCGGUGAAAUCUUGGGAUUUUGUUUUGUUUGCAUUUAUUUGUAUCGAGACGAGAGAACUUGAGUAAACCUUACCAUUUAGAGGAAGGUGAAGUCGUAACA
This 326-nucleotide ribosomal RNA is filed under the name uncultured eukaryote. Its description in RNAcentral is "partial 18S ribosomal RNA". It matches the Rfam family "Eukaryotic small subunit ribosomal RNA", at positions 1470 to 1796 of the family's 1831-position model. The record is from RNAcentral.